Molecule: ribosomal RNA, 254 nt
Filed under: uncultured bacterium
Lineage: Bacteria
Description: partial 16S ribosomal RNA
Rfam family: Bacterial small subunit ribosomal RNA
Source: RNAcentral
GGGGAUGGAUUAGUGGCGAACGGGUGAGGAACACGUGAGAAACCUGCCUUUCAUUCUGGGAUAACACCGGGAAACCGGGGCUAAUACCGGAUACGAGCCUUGAUCGCAUGAUCGGGGCUGGAAAGUUUUUCGGUUGAAGAUGACCUCGCGGCCUAUCGGCUUGUUGGUGAGGUAAUGGCUCACCAAGGCGACGACGGGUAGCCGGCCUGAGAGGGCGACCGGCCACACUGGGACUGAGACACGGCCCAGACUCC